This 6654-nucleotide long non-coding RNA is filed under the name Sus scrofa (pig). Its description in RNAcentral is "lncRNA (ENSSSCG00040057766.1)". Lineage: Eukaryota; Metazoa; Chordata; Mammalia; Artiodactyla; Suidae. The record is from RNAcentral.
AAUUAGGGUACAGCUCACUUGCCCCCUUCAGCUGGGGAACCGUGCACAGUAACCAACCAGUACAGGUCUAUGUGGUAGUCCUGAUGCUGGUGAUAAGCAGGCCUAGGAAGUAUGAGGUUGGGAAGGGGACUCAAACAGCUUGCAGAAGAGGCACCCAAGUAGGGUAGAGGGAUGCUAAGGCAGAAGGUGGGAGGGUUCCAAAGAGGCAUUUCAUUUGUUUUUUGCCUUCUUCAUCUUGAUACGCUAUGUUAACAGAACACAGUGUGGAAUCAUAUACUGUGUCUUUUAGACAUGAAGAAAAAGAAAAGGCACAAUCUUUGCUGUUGAAAUGUUUGCACUCUAACUCAGCCAUCCCAUUCCCCCAUCCUUUAUGCCUCACUGCUUAUUACAUUUACUUCCAGUUCUUCCUGUUUAAAUUGAGAACACGGAGGCAAAACCAGGCACUGUGAUAAUGGAAUUUUAUGCUAGGUCUUUGAUUACACUUCCUUUUCCAGCUUCAAUAUUUCACAUUGUGAAUAAUAAUGUUCUUUGUAGGAAAACCCCUUAAUUUGAAAAUGUUGCAGAUGGCCUUUUAUCAGGAGCUAUGGACUGUCAAAAUAAAUAGAUUUAAUUAUGAACCAUUGUUGUGGAAUGGACCGUCUUAAAUAAUAGAAGACAAGUUUCCAAAAAUUAAAAAAGACCUUACAUUUUAAAAGCACCUUAGAAUAAUCAGCUGCUUGGGGUUGACUGGUUUUCAACAAGUUACUCAGCAGAUGGAGGAUGUCAACUUUCACUGGUAACAGCUAUUCUCAUAACUAAGAAGGGAUUUGCUGGGACUUCAUCAUCACUCUUUGCUCGAACAGAGCCUGGUUUAAGAGAAUCCCACUGCCCUAGUACAUUGUGAUGGAGUACUAGGAAAGGUCUUGUGAUUGAGUCAUUUUUAUUUUUUAUUUUAUUUUUUGUCUUUUAGAGUUGCACCUAUGGCAUAUGGAGGUUCCCAGGCUAGGUGUCCAAUCAGAGCUGUAGCUACCAGCCUACACCACAGCGACAGCAAUGCUAGCUCCAAGCGCAUCUGUGACCUACGCCACAGCUCACGGCAACACCAGAUCUUAACCCACUGAGCGAGGCCAGGAAUUGAACUUGUGUUCUCAUGGAUACUAGUCGGUUUCGUUAACCACUGAGCCAUGACAGGAACUCCGAGUCAUUUUUAGAAAGCCAAGGUCUUAAGAUUGGAUAUAGUUCCCUGUGCUAUACAGGAGGACCCUAUUGCUUAGCCAUAGUUUCAAUUUGUAUCUGCUAACCCUAAACUCCCUAUCCCCUCCCCCUCGGCAACCACAAGUCUGUUCUCUGUGUCUGUGAGUCUGUUUCUGUUUUGUAGAUAGGUUCAUUUGUGCCACAGUUUAGAUUCUGCAUAUAAGUGAUAUCAUAUGGUGUUUGUCUUUUUUUUUUUUUUUUUCAGACUUGACUUCACUUUGUAUGAGAAUCUUUCGUUGCCCUGUAACUUCUUGAUCCAGUUAUCAGGGCUUUCUAAUUGCAGUAGGCUAUUCACAGGGUCUUUUUUUUUCUUAAAUAUUCCAGCUUGAAGGGGAGAAUGGAAGGAACUGAUCCCUCAAAGUACUGAACACAGAUUUCAACGUUCAAAUUCUCUCAACUUAGAAAAGACUUUCUCCCCUCUUGGCAAAUCAGGCAGCAUGGAAUCCUCAAGGGCCUAGUUCCACUGUUUUUUUUUUUUUUUUUUUAUGAAGUUGUUCCAAUGUGUGAAACAUCCACCCUGUGGAGGUCUAAAUUGGUUGAAGCUUGAGCCUCACAAAAAAAGGUUUCUGGGAUUUGGAUAAGCCCUUGAUUUAUUGCAAUACAUCUGAUGGUGUCAUCCACUGACCCCUGUGACAUGAGCCCUCUUUUGGGUAAGGCCCACCAGAGGCCAGGAGGCUCACAAUCAGAUCUUUGUCCCUGAAGACAUUUCUCAGCCUCUAUGAAAUCCUCCCCUGACUCCAUGAAAGCAAUAGUUAAAACUACCUUAGGAGAAAUACCCAGUUAAAUAUGUUGAAUAUCUUCAAUUAUUUUGCUUGAAUAUGAAGUUAAAAAUUUUCCCUGUAGUGCCCUUCUUAGGAAAAGUUUAGGAAGAAAUAUUUCAUUAUCAUUUUAAAAAGUUGCUUUAAAGGGGGGAUUUUAGUGACUUUAGGCCAGGCAAAAGUGUUUCUCUUUGCUGUUAGGAAGCUCUAGGUAGAAUUAAUAAGAAAUAGGAAAAUGAAGAAGGAGAGGUAUUUAUAACUGUAUAAUAGCUGCAUGAAGAAGUUCCUAAUGUAUAUCUAUAAUUAGCUGACUAGUUAAUCCUUAAUGUAUUAAUUUAUUCAUUAAUUUAAGAAAUAUUCAUUAAUUUAAGGGCAUCUCUACUGGGGAAAGUUGUGGGCACUAGAAUUACAAAAAUGAAUGAGACACAUUCCCCCCCUUAAGGAGCCUAGAAGGAAAUAUAUAAAUAACUACAGUGAUUUCUUCUCAGAUCAAAUGAAGAUGAGGAUUAUCUGCUUCCCGGUGUUAUCUUUUGAAGAAAAAUGCAUGGAACUUGAAAUAGGAAAAACCAAAUUCAUGUUCACAAUUGCUUUGCCUGUACAAUAUUGUCAUCACAAACCGGGUAGUGGUAAUACAUGCCUUGGGCUGUGAAUAGCACUGUACAUUUCAGUUUUGAUUUGUCCAAAGUAUGCAAGUGAUAAUUCUUAUUAUUUCUUUCAAGGAGCAAAACAAUCAAAACCACCAUCAGUGUAAACUCAGAGCAUCCUUGGUGCUAGAGAUUUCUAUCAUAAUAAUGAUUCCUGGAGUUCCUGUUGCAGUUCAGUUGGUUAAGAAUCCAGCUGCAGUGGCUUGGGUUGCCGUGGAGGUGCUGCCAAUCGGAUGACCUUAAAAUCAGGAGUUCAUUUUGGAUUAUCUGGACAGGUAUAACAUAAUGCUUAGGGAGGGAGGCAGUAGAAGAGAGUCAAAGGGAGAUGUGACUGAGGGAGAGUAGUCAGAGGGAUGGGACAUUGCCGGCUUUGAAAAUGGAGGAAGGGGCCUAAAGCGAAGGAAUGAGGAUGACCUCUAGAAGCUGGAAAAGGCAUGAAAACAAAUCCUCCCCUAAAGCCUCCAGAAAGGGACAGAGCCACACCACUCCUUAUUUUAGCCCCUUGAGACCCAUGCUGGAUUUCUGACCUACAAAGCUGUAGGACAAUAAACUUUUGUUGCUUUGUGCAACUCCAUUUGCAGUAAUUUGUUACAGCAGGAGCAGGGAACUAACUCAGAUGGGGUGGCUGUUAGAGACCCCUAGCUCUCCGCCUUCAAAGCAGACAUGUGACUAGCAAGCCUGUGCUGUCGCCGUGUGAGGACACUUACAGGUUGGAAUGAUGGUUUCAUUCAAUUAUUUAUGAAUAAAUAUGCCUCACACAUCUACUUGAUGCCAGCUACUAUUCCAGGGCCAACAGCAAACAAGACAUAAAACAAUCCUGCCUUCAUGAGGCUAUCACUGUAGAAGCAGAGACAGGCAAUAAAUGAGUAAAACACAUCAUAAGCUACAUAGUGAUAGAAAAGUAUAAGGAGAGAGGGUGAUGGGAAGUAGGGUGUGUGUGUGUGUGUGUGUGUGUGUUGUGUUGUGUGUGUGUACAGUGGUUUGUAACUUUUAGAUGGGGAUUCCAAGGGCAGAGUCACUGAGAAAGUGAUAUGUGAAAUGAAGACCUGAAGACUUAUCAGGAAAGAGGAGAUAAACCACGUGGCUUUCUGGGGAAAGAUAAUCCAGAGCAAAGAGGAUGCAAAGGUCCUAAGGACAGGGGAUGUGACAUACUGAUGUAUUGGGGAGAAGAUAUUUAAAACUUCUGGGGAGCUAGUUGAUCUUCUGAGUAGUGUGGAGUUGGACAUUUUUCUACUCAGCUGGUAGCCCCCCAUUUUUUUUUUUUAAAUCACUUCUGCUGCAGAGUAAAAGCAGAUCAUUUCCCAAGGCCUGCCUGAGGGAGCCUGAGGCAGAGAGUACGAGGAUUUUUCAGUGCUGAUAACCAAUGUUAGGGAUCAGUCAUUUGAAUUAAUAAGGAGAAUGGGGGAAAGAGAGGCAAAUGAUGUAAAUAGUGGUUACCAUUUCCCUAAAAAUUUGAAUAGCUCUCGCUAUUUGACAAGAGUAGUGUGGUUGGUUAGUGACUAGAAACAGGCAUAACUGGGACUGUUUUAAACCCAACCAGCAGUUCAUCAGAACUGUUGGGAAAGGUCAAUCUCUUUUUCUCUCAUCAUAUUGCUCCUUUCUAAUAUAAAUCUCGCAGGGUAACUUUUAUCCUCUAUUUUCAGACAGAAUCCACAGCCACUCUCUCCUACUGCCAUUGUGUAGCAUUUCUUUAAAGGAGCAGGCUACACAGUACCUCAAAUGAUCCUUGCAGUGGAGGGGAUGGAGUCUGAACACUUACAAUUCAGAAGGAGCCAGGUGUGACCAGAGAGGAGGAGGCUAGCUGGCAGUAGUAGGUUGGGUUGACUACAGACUCACUCUGGAUAAGAGGCAUAUGUAAGAAAUGUCAGAGCUUGGUUUCUUACCCAGCAAUGAUCUAUAAAAGAGAGAGAGAAAAGUAAUGGAGUGAACUACGGGAAGAGAAAAGAUGAACCUAGAGGUAUAUGACAGUUGAGAAUCAUGGCCUCCAAAUUCUUUGCUCCUCUUCUCAUCAAGAAGUGAGGUCCAUGCCUCCUCCCCUUGAAUCUUCUUGUGACAGCUUGACCAAUGGAAUGGAACAGAAGGGACACUGUGUCAAUUUCUGAUGGGGUAGUUGUUUCCAUUUUCAGUUUGUUGAGAUGCUUGCUCUUGGCACCUAGUUACCAUGCCAUGAGGAAGCUCAACCUAUCCCCCAGAAAGGCCCAUGUGUAGAGGAACCAACAGCCCCAUGCUAGGGCCAUCUUGGAAGGAGACACCCCCCUAGCCACCCAGCCCAGUCAAGUGACCCCAGCUGAUGUUACAACUAAGCACAUGAGCUGUUCCUGCCGACUCCUGCCUGGAUUGUGGGUUUGUGAAAAAAUAAUUAUUGUUAUUCCAAGCUACUAACUUUUGGGGUAGCUUGUUGUAUGUGAAUAAUUGCAACAAGGUAUAUUUUAGGGGAUGAGAAGGAGAAAUGUCAGGUCUUAUGUAUGAUUAUUUUUUUAUUUCAAGUAUAUGUAAUAUAUAAUAUAAAACAUAUUAAAAUCACUCAACUCAACCACCUAGGAUUAUUGACUUUCUCCUCAGAACAACACACGUAUAUCAACCAUUUGAGUACAGUUUCAGGAGUCUCAGAACCUCCUAUCUGGGGCAUGUAGACCUCAGGUUGAGAACUUCUGUGAUGACUGUCUCUCCAGUGCUAUUAGUUAUAAAGUGGAAUAUCCUUCGGGAAGGAUGUGGGAAAGGACACUGGAUUUUGUGUUACUAGACUUGUAUUUUAUUCCAGCCCUUUCACGGACUUACUCUUUGUAUGUGGAUCAAAUAUAAUAUCCCUAUAUUUUCUUGGGUGGUAAAAUGUAUAUUGAAAUCCUGUCCUUCUUUAUUCAAAGGAAUGUUGAGACUGGAAAAAAAAAAAAAAAAAAGGACUUCCCCAGUGACCUAGCUGUUAAGAUUUGGUGUUGUCACUGCUGUGGCUUGGGUUUGAUCCCUGGCCUGGGAACUCUGCAUGCCCUGGGGCCAAAAAAAGGAAAGUGAACAUAUUUAGAGAAGUGAUAAUUUGCCCCUCAGAGGUAUUUGUUGAAUUAAUUGCUGCUGCUGUUGUCCACUGAAGAUUGCUUGAUUAGGUUGCCCAAAGCUUUAAGGGCAAGGUUUUGCACAUAAAAUAACUCUGGGACAUGGAUCCUAGGGAAAGAGUACCAAAGAGUGUAGGAAGAAAAGGGGAAGUUGAGUACAGUGUUUCCUUUUCACUCUGUUCUCUUUAGUUUUGAAGUCAGUAGAGAGGAACUAGGGGAAACAGUAGCCUGCAAAGAUUGGUAUCAGUUUACACCAAAGCAAAACUCUGCUCACCAACACAAAGACUUGGAAGCAAUAUACACAGAAAUCUCACAAAAUAUAAAAACACGUAGACACUGCCUUCGGCACUGGCGUCAUUGGGUAGAAAGUCUAUUUACACUGGUUCUUAUGAGGUCAGCAAAACAUUUUGAAUAGCAACUCCUUGGCGGCCUGCAGUGGGUCUGAAAAUAUGAAAUAAAACAUAAACAGCAGACCUGACUUCUGAGCAGGGCGUUCCAAGAUUGCUUCCUUGCUUUCUGCUGUAACAGAUUGCAUUGUUACUGUAUUUGCAGUUUUCUAUCAUCUCAGAUGAAAAGAUCCCAGCCAGAUGGUUAGGGUAAAACCCAAAACACAGGUGAUGGAAGGCAACACCCAAUGUUAAAACCUUCAACAAAGACGAUCCUCUGUGGUUGUUUUCCUUCCCAUUGCGUAAAUAUAGGGAUAGGGAGAGGCGGGGAGAAAAAGCAGAAAUCACAUCUAUCUGCAUGGAUUGAAGGCAAUUUAGUUUCCAUCAGACGUGGUGACAUUGAUCAAUGAAUCACACAAUGUCGAACAACAGUUGCCCAGCACAGACUGUGCCACAGGAUCCAGAUCAGAGAUAUCUGCAAUAUGCUUAGUUUUCACAUCAAUGUAAGUGGAGUCAAUUUGGGCUAACCUAAAUGGCCUUUAGAAAUAGUUUAUCACCCCUUUCUCUGUUUUAUCCUCUAUUGCCU